GAGAUGAGGAGCUUGCUCUUCAAAUCGAGUGGCGAACGGGUGAGUAACGCGUGAGGAACCUGCCUCAAAGAGGGGGACAACAGUUGGAAACGACUGCUAAUACCGCAUAAGCCCACGGCUCGGCAUCGAGCAGAGGGAAAAGGAGCAAUCCGCUUUGAGAUGGCCUCGCGUCCGAUUAGCUAGUUGGUGAGGUAACGGCCCACCAAGGCGACGAUCGGUAGCCGGACUGAGAGGUUGAACGGCCACAUUGGGACUGAGACACGGCCCAGACUCCUACGGGAGGCAGCAGUGGGGAAUAUUGCACAAUGGGGGAAACCCUGAUGCAGCGACGCCGCGUGGAGGAAGAAGGUCUUCGGAUUGUAAACUCCUGUUGUUGAGGAAGAUAAUGACGGUACUCAACAAGGAAGUGACGGCUAACUACGUGCCAGCAGCCGCGGUAAAACGUAGGUCACAAGCGUUGUCCGGAAUUACUGGGUGUAAAGGGAGCGCAGGCGGGAGAACAAGUUGGAAGUGAAAUCCAUGGGCUCAACCCAUGAACUGCUUUCAAAACUGUUUUUCUUGAGUAGUGCAGAGGUAGGCGGAAUUCCCGGUGUAGCGGUGGAAUGCGUAGAUAUCGGGAGGAACACCAGUGGCGAAGGCGGCCUACUGGGCACCAACUGACGCUGAGGCUCGAAAGUGUGGGUAGUAAACAGGAUUAGAUACCCUGGUAGUCC
Molecule: ribosomal RNA, 713 nt
Filed under: uncultured bacterium
Lineage: Bacteria
Description: bacterial SSU rRNA
Rfam family: Bacterial small subunit ribosomal RNA
Source: RNAcentral